UACGGAGGGUGCAAGCAUUAAUCGGAUUUAUUGGGCGUAAAGGGCGCGUAGGCGGAAAGAAAAGUCAGAUGUGAAAUCCCGGGGCUUAACCUCGGACCCGCAUUUGAAACUUUCUUUCUAGAGGAUAGAUGGAGAAAACGGAAUUCCACGUGUAGCGGUGAAAUGCGUAGAUAUGUGGAAGAACACCUGUGGCGAAGGCGGUUUUCUAAUUUAUUCCUGACGCUGAGGCGCGAAAGUAAGGGGAUCAAACAGG
This 253-nucleotide ribosomal RNA is filed under the name uncultured bacterium. RNAcentral describes it as "partial 16S ribosomal RNA". It matches the Rfam family "Bacterial small subunit ribosomal RNA", at positions 524 to 776 of the family's 1533-position model. The record is from RNAcentral.